GUGUUUGCCGCUGAAUGAAAUCAAUCUAAUUUUUCUAAUUCAGGGUUUUCAAGAUAAACCCAGAUUUCUCAAGAAAGAAAAAUCUAGAAAGAUUUCAAAAUCCACCACCUACACACUUAAAAGUUGUAGCAGCUUCUUAUGCCAUGGGAAACAUGUCAUUUUGAGAUGAUGUUUUUUCUAGGUUUAAGUUUGGUCUUAAACAUUUAUAUUUAAUUUCUCAUUGUCUUAGUUCAAAGAAUUUACUUUUAUAUUUUAAAAUAACUUUUUACACAAUAACUCAGUGUCAUAUCAUGUUAGAUAUAAAACUAUGUCCUAAAACUAUUUUAUCCUUUUUUUUUUUUUUUUUUUUUGAGACAGUCUUGCUCUAUAGCCCAGGCUGGAGUGCAGUGGUGCAAUCUCGGCUCACCGCAACCUCUGCCUCCUGGGUUGAAACAAUUCUCCUGCCUCAGCCUCCUAAGUAGCUGGGACUACAGGCAUGUGCCACCACGCAUAGCUAAUUUUCAGUAGAGACAGGGUUUGUAUUUUUAGUAGAGACAGGGUUUCACCGUGUUGGCCAGGCUGGUCUCAAACUCCUGACCUCAGUUGAUUCACCUGCCUCGGCCUCCCAAAGUGCUAGGAUUACAGGCAUGAGCCAUCCUGCCCAGCCUAUUUUAUACUGCUUAUACUAUUUAUAUAGUAUAAAAAUAGUUUUAAAACUAUUUUAUGGUAUACUUUUUAUAAAGUAAAAAGUAUACUGUAGUAUAAUUUUUAUACUAUAUACCAUAUUAUAUUUUUAUAAAGUUGUUUCCAUUUGCUACUAACUUUUUCUUUUGUAUGUCAGUUUCCUGAUUUCUACAUUUCCUGCAGGUCACCUGGAACAUCAAAAGAAAAAGAAAAGCUGUAAUAUUGAUGGGUGGCCUACUGUGCAACAAGAUUUUCAUAUAGUGUUUUUGGUGUUAUAUGGAUGUUUCUUCUCGCAGUGGAUGUGUAGAGUCAGAGCACAGAUGGGCAUACUCUCAAACCUUAAUAACUGUGCCACAUUGCCCUUUGAGUUUAUUCUAAACCUUAGCAAGUCAGAGAUCACACUGUAUGGAACUAACUUCUAUCUAAAUUGCAUGAUUGAUUGAUAGGAGAUUUCCAAAUAACAUUUGGACUGCCUUACAUCCAGUAAAAGAACUCAGCAAAAUACAAAUAAAUAUGAUAAUAUCUUAGACAGCAAAUCUUCUCAUCCCACAAGAGGCAGGAAACUGCUAGAGGAAGCUGCCUUGGAGAGGAUUCUUUCCUCCCCUCCCGAAAGGAGCUGAACUCAAAAUCUCUCCAUUUCACAAUAGACAUUGGAGAACAUUUUCAACAGUGGAUUUGCACCGGUGUUUUGUGUCCUAGAAAAACGUUCCCUUCAGGUAGGUUCUAAUAAGCCC
This 1397-nucleotide long non-coding RNA is filed under the name Homo sapiens (human). RNAcentral describes it as "HSALNT0113201". Lineage: Eukaryota; Metazoa; Chordata; Mammalia; Primates; Hominidae. The record is from RNAcentral.